GGCCAUUUUGGAAUUUUAAGAAACCUGAAACAGAAAGGUGUUUGAGAAUUUUUUUUUCGGCAAAGUUAUUUUUGGAAUAACAGCAUCCAUCCUUACCUUUUCGACCACCAACCUGACGGCGUCCACUGGAAAUCUUCAUGUACUUUGGAAAAGGAACUCUCAACUUAAUUUUUGAUAAAACGAAAAGAAAAUAAAGCUUGUGGACGAAUUGCAUGGAUUUAAGAUGGCCAAUCAUUGUGCAAAUAAAAGGGGCCAUUACAUUGAUAGUAAAUAUUUUUUCUGAUAUUGAAUGAAACUUCCUUCUGUAGGUCUAUCAAAUUAAUUACGAAACAGGAAAAUUGAUGCUGAACGUGACUUUCCACUGUCACAUGUGGAUUACUAUCAGACCAACAUAAAUUUGUAUAUUAUUUCUACAAUAUGCUGCUGAGAUAUCUUAAUGAUUUCAUAUUUGUCAUAUGUAGUUAGGAACCAGUCUUUUAUGGCUGUGCUAUGGAUAGGUAGACAAGUGUUCUACAAAGAAUAAUUGCCAUAUAGCUUCAGAAUAAUCCUUUGUAGAAUGCAUGUGUACAUGCAACCUAUACAUUUUGGGAUUUGUUUUUUGAUAAUUUGUUUUGUUAAAGUAUCCAAAAUGUAAAUCUUCCUUAUAACUCUGCUUAUUUUCUUCACACAAUAAUUUUGAGUUAUUUAAACUUCUGUAUAAGUUUUUAAAAUUAUAACCAAAAACGCAAAUAUUAAUAAUAUAAGUUUCACCCAAUGUUUUGAAUUUUAAGAAUAUCAUGAUGUUAUCAUGCUUAAGAGGAUUCUCUAUGGUCCUUAAAGUUACUGUGGAGAGUCGCCGUAUGAAAGGAGGAAGCUCCAGGGUUGGGGCAUGCACGGUCAUGUGACCAUGAUGACGUGAGAAUUAUUAUUAUUAGUAUUUAAUUAAACAACUUUUAUUGCAUAAACGAAUACAAAUAAAGAUACAGUAAAACCUCGAUAUAAUACCGGACUUCGUUAAAACGGACUUCGGAUAUAAAGGACAAAUUUAUUACAGACAAAAAAAAUUAUUAUAUUAUUAUAUUAAUACAUUUGGCCGGUAUUUGACUUAUCAAUGAUUUUAUAAAAUAUUUGUCACAGCAAUUUUACAGUGUAAUAGUCUGUGUUUUAUAAAAAAUUUCUUUCAAUAAUA
This is a non-coding RNA of Onthophagus taurus, 1168 nucleotides long. The record is from RefSeq and is a predicted model, not a curated record. NCBI's taxonomy places the organism in Eukaryota, Metazoa, Arthropoda, Insecta, Coleoptera, Scarabaeidae.